Molecule: long non-coding RNA, 3102 nt
Filed under: Sorghum bicolor (sorghum)
Lineage: Eukaryota; Viridiplantae; Streptophyta; Magnoliopsida; Poales; Poaceae
Description: long non-coding RNA (SBIC_LNC018106)
Source: RNAcentral
UGGCGAAUGAUGGAAGGGUUGUCAUUUGACUUAGACUCGGAGGCUUUGCCGAUAAGAUUGGAAAUGUCAUUGCCAAUGAAGGAAGGACUGAAGACUACUGCUGAUGAAGCUUAUGAUGAUGGGGAGCAUGCCGAUGGAGCAAAAGACGAUGGAGUUUCAUCGUAAUGAAGGCGGACAAGGAAGUAGAUAGGUGUCGUUUUCCUUUUUUGUAUUUGUUAGAGUAUGAUUCAUGUAAGAGUCAUAUUUUCCUUAGAUAUGAACUCGACGUCCUAGUCAUGUAGGGGAUGAGAUAUUUAUACCGCCAUAUAGGGGAUGAACCAAUCACCAAUAUAGAACAAACAAGCACCGGGAGAAUGCCAAUCAAACACAAUUGAGACACCAAUUUUUCUCCCGAGGUUCACGUGCUUGCUGGCACGCUAUGUCCCCAUUGUGUCGACCAACACUUGGUGGUUCAGCGGCUAAGAGGUGUAGCACGAAUCUUGUCCUCACUAGGACACCGCAAGAACCUACCCACAAGUGAGGUAGCUCAAUGACACGCGCAAUCCACUAGAGUUGCCUUUGGCUCUUCGCCAAGGUAGGCACAAAACCCCACACAAUCACCGGGAGAUGGCCACGAACAAUCACCAACUCAUGCCAAUGCUCCUCCACUGCUCCAAGCUAUCUAGGUGGCGGCAACCACCAAGAGUAACAAGAAAACUGCAGCCAAAUCUAUCCCCAAGUGCCACUAGAUGCAAUCACUCAAGCAAAUACACUUGGAAUCACUCCCAAUCUCAUAAAGAUGGUUAAUCUAUGAAGGAGAUGAGUGGGAGGAGUUUGCUUAGGCUCACAAGGAUGUCUAGUAGUCAAGAAUGCCAAGAGAGUGAGCCCCAAGCCGGCCAACACAUAUUUAUAAGCCCCUGUUGAUGGUUCUUAAGUAUCAAUUUUAAUCAUGAAAUAAAUAAAGAAAAGGACCAAUAUACAAACAACACCUAGAAUUAGGGUUUGACCUGACAGAAUUCCACGAGUUUUGCUGUUUAUCUAUUUCUGUAGGGGGUUAUCAGGAAAUAUGGAAGAAAGGCCCACACGUCGGGUUUACAUAGAGAUAUUAACUUGUGCGCCAAUUUUCCUCGGUCUAGAAGGUUCCAGAAGCCACACGAACGAGCGGGAGGCCGAGAGGGCCCACAGGCAGGGCGCCCGCCCUACCCCCCGGGCACCCACCCACCUAUGGUGGCCAAUCAGGUUGAAUCACACAGAUUAUGCUCCACCGCCUUUGAGGAUCAAGGAGAACCGUUCAAUCAAGGUCGGUAUGAUCUGACAGCCCAGAUUCAUUUGAAAGGGCUAUAUAAGCAAGGCCCCUGGCCCCUGGAGAGAUAGAAUCCCCAUUAUUCACUCGCAUAUUUUCCAGAGAGGAUUCAGAGAGAGAGGUUCCCUUAGGGUUCCAACCUCAUAGGGCUUAGCAUCCAAUGUGAGAGUAGAAUUAGUUCUACUAGAUUGAGAGAGAUAGAGUGGAGGUGUAGAUCGGAGGAAGCCCGGCCUGUCGGUGUCUACUCCGAGGUUGUACCUGCGGGAUCAAGUCUCUUAACCCGAGGCUUGCUCCUAGGAUUCUUUAGUAUUUUGACUUCUAAAUUCUAGUAAGUUCUUUGUUUUAUUGUUCUUUGAUUUAUGAGUUUACUUUGAUCUCUUUGCGUAGAGUUUAGAGUAAUUAUCUCUAGCAUAAACGUGGUGUUUGGGCUAGGAUACUCAUAGAUAUCCCCUGUCUAGCCGGACCGUGGUAGUAGCGAGGAACGUGACAUUUCCGAGUUACCUUUGUAGCCCAUAAUCCCGUUAGCAGGAUCGAUAGGGUCUAUAGGUGCGGGUCGAACAUUCUCUGUGGUGUCUAGAUUCCGUGAGCCUCCCCAACAGAACAGUAGAUCAUCCUUACCAAGGUUAGAACGAGGGUGCUGUUGAAGUCUUCUCUAUACAUCACUCACAUCGAAUCAUAGUGGUUGUAGCCUAAAGGUUAGUAGUAAUAGACCUGGUUAGGCAGAUGCACGCUUUCUCCUAGUGGUAAAAAUAUAAAUACGAUACUCUGGAUAACAUUCCGGGUGAAGUGCUCACCGAUAUCUGUGCGCUUGCGGAUUAAUUCUUGAUUGCGUUACCAGAUAUCAACAAGCAUUUCUAGCACCGUUGCCGGGGAGAAAGACGGUUUGCUGAGAUAACCUUGAGUCUUACUACUAACUUGUAUUCAUACUUUUAUCUUUUCUUAUCUUUUUAUAUUCUUUAUUUUCCUUACUCUUACCUUAUGGAAAACCAAGAUUCUAAAUCGAUCUAUCAAUUUGCAACACCUUCGAAAACUGAACUUUUACCAUGGGAGUCAUCACAGCCUAUCCAAACAUCUCAGUAUAGUUAAGUUCCAGGUUGAUUGCCAUGAUUCAAAACCUAUCUUUUUUAGGAAAGGAAGACGAAAACCCUUACCUUCAUAUUAGAGAUUUUGAGGAAACAUGUGAUUGUCUUCGCAUUGAAGGCAUUUAUGAUAAAACUUUACGUUGGAAGCUUUUUCCUUUUUCUUUAAGGGGAGAAGCUAGACGAUGGUAUAGUCAGAAGGUAAGUCAACAAUGAGGUGAAUGGGGAGUCUUACGAGCCAACUUUUGUCUAGAUUUCUAUUCCCUCGACCGUAUCAACGACUUUAGACUCGAAGUCCUAUCUUUUAAACAAAAAGAUAAUGAAACUUUGGGAAAAUCCUGGAAACAUUUUUCUAAUAUUUUAGAAUAUGGUCCAAACCUUAAUCUUGAAGACCCUAUUCUCUUAUUUCACUUUUUUUGAGGUCUUCAGAAAGAUCAAAAACAAAUGCUACAUACAAUGUCUAGAGGUUCUUUCUUUCGCAUCCCUACCGAUGACGCUAGAGCAAUCCUUGAUAGAAUCCUAGAAGCUGAGAUGGAUAAUACCCUUCAUGAUGAAACCUACGAAGCCGAAGUAGACACUCUGCCAAAUUCUCCAUCUACUUUAGCUAUCCCAAGUUCCGGGACGACUGCUCUACGCCGAUGGAGCAAAAGACGAUGGAGUUUCAUCGUAAUGAAGGCGGACAAGGAAGUAGAUAGGUGUCGUUUUCCUUUUUUGUAUUUGUUAGAGUAUGAUUCAUGUAAG